Molecule: ribosomal RNA, 498 nt
Filed under: uncultured bacterium
Lineage: Bacteria
Description: partial 16S ribosomal RNA
Rfam family: Bacterial small subunit ribosomal RNA
Source: RNAcentral
GACGAACGCUGGCGGCGUGCCUAAUACAUGCAAGUCGAGCGGACGAAUCGAAAGCUUGCUUUUGAUUCGUUAGCGGCGGACGGGUGAGUAACACGUGGGCAACCUGCCCUGUAGACGGGGAUAACACCGAGAAAUCGGUGCUAAUACCGGAUAACACGAAAUGUCGCAUGACGUUUCGUUGAAAGACGGCGCAAGCUGUCGCUACAGGAUGGGCCCGCGGCGCAUUAGCUAGUUGGUGAGGUAACGGCUCACCAAGGCGACGAUGCGUAGCCGACCUGAGAGGGUGAUCGGCCACACUAGGACUGAGACACGGCCCAGACUCCUACGGGAGGCAGCAGUAGGGAAUCUUCCGCAAUGGACGAAAGUCUGACGGAGCAACGCCGCGUGAGCGAAGAAGGCCUUCGGGUCGUAAAGCUCUGUUGUUAGGGAAGAACAAGUAACGCAGUAACUGGCGUUACCGUGACGGUACCUAACGAGAAAGCCACGGCUAACUACGUG